ACCAGACUCCUACGGGAGGCAGCAGUGGGGAAUAUUGGGCAAUGGGCGCAAGCCUGACCCAGCAACGCCGCGUGAAGGAAGAAGGCCCUCGGGUUGUAAACUUCUUUUGUCAGGGACGAAGAAAGUGACGGUACCUGACGAAUAAGCCACAGCUAACUACGUGCCAGCAGCCGCGGUAAUACGUAGGUGGCAAGCGUUGUCCGGAUUUACUGGGUGUAAAGGGCGUGUAGCCGGGUUGACAAGUCAGAUGUGAAAUCCUGCGGCUUAACCGCAGAACUGCAUUUGAGACUGUUGAUCUUGAGUACUGGGGAGGCAGACGGAAUUCCUAGUGUAGCGGUGAAAUGCGUAGAUAUUAGGAGGAACACCAGUGGCGAAGGCGGUCUGCUGGACAGCAACUGACGCUGAGGCGCGAAAGCGUGGGGAGCAAACAGGAUUAGAUACCCGCGUAC
This 449-nucleotide ribosomal RNA is filed under the name uncultured bacterium. RNAcentral describes it as "partial 16S ribosomal RNA". It matches the Rfam family "Bacterial small subunit ribosomal RNA", at positions 330 to 793 of the family's 1533-position model. The record is from RNAcentral.